UUUUUGAUCAUAAUUUAAAGUCUAAUCUGCCCACUGAUAAAAAUUAAAGGGCUGCAGUAUUUUGACUGUACAAAGGUAGCAUAAUCAAUAGUCUCUUAAUUGGUGACUUGUAUGAAAGAUUUGAUGAAAUAUAAACUGUCUCAAUUUAAUUUAUAAAAUUUAAUUUUUUAGUUAAAAAGCUAAAAUUUGUUUAAAAGACGAGAAGACCCUAUAGAGUUUUAUAUUUUAAUAAUUUAUUAUUUUAUAUUAUUUUAAAAAUUUUAAGUUAUUAAAUUAUUUUAUUGGGGUGAUAGAAAAAUUGAACUAACUUUUUUUAAAAUUAAAACAUUUAUUUUUGAAAAUAUGAUCCGUAAAUUACGAUUAAAAGAAUAAAUUACCUUAGGGAUAACAGCGUAAUUUUUUUUUUUAGUUCAAAUAAGAAAAAGAGUUUGCGACCUCGAUGUUGGAUUAAGAUAAAAUUUAAAUGCAAAAGUUUAAAAUUUUUGAUCUGUUCGAUCAUUAAAAUCUUACA
Molecule: ribosomal RNA, 511 nt
Filed under: Sericinus montela
Lineage: Eukaryota; Metazoa; Arthropoda; Insecta; Lepidoptera; Papilionidae
Description: partial 16S ribosomal RNA
Rfam family: Bacterial large subunit ribosomal RNA (bases 384-511)
Source: RNAcentral